GAGGGAAAGGCGAAAAGAACCCCGGCGAGGGGAGUGAAAAAGAACCUGAAACCGUGUACGUACAAGCAGUGGGAGCCCCACCACUAAGCCAGUGGUGAACUCCACAUACGCAUCCUUUGCUGAGGAUGCGGUUAACGGAGCGAAAGCGACGUUCAACCGCAAAAGAAGCAGAGGGGGCUUAGUGGUGGGGUGACUGCGUACCUUUUGUAUAAUGGGUCAGCGACUUAUAUUCUGUAGCAAGGUUAACCGAAUAGGGGAGCCGGAGGGAAACCGAGUCUUAA
This 281-nucleotide ribosomal RNA is filed under the name Salmonella enterica subsp. enterica serovar Oranienburg. RNAcentral's name for it is "partial 23S ribosomal RNA". It matches the Rfam family "Bacterial large subunit ribosomal RNA", at positions 505 to 687 of the family's 2925-position model. The record is from RNAcentral. Lineage: Bacteria; Pseudomonadati; Pseudomonadota; Gammaproteobacteria; Enterobacterales; Enterobacteriaceae.